RNAcentral lists this ribosomal RNA (493 nucleotides) under uncultured bacterium. RNAcentral's name for it is "partial 16S ribosomal RNA". It matches the Rfam family "Bacterial small subunit ribosomal RNA", at positions 29 to 507 of the family's 1533-position model. The record is from RNAcentral.
ACGAACGCUGGCGGCGUGCUUAACACAUGCAAGUCGAACGGAAAGGCCUGCUUUCCCUUGUGGAUUGCGGGUACUCGAGUGGCGAACGGGUGAGUAACACGUGAGUGAUCUGCCCCCAACUUGGGUAUAAGCCUGGGAAACUGGGUCUAAUUCCCGAUAGGACUGCAGGGUGGUGCCUGUGGUGGAAAACGAUUUUCUAGUGGUUGGGGAUGAGCUCGCGGCCUAUCAGCUUGUUGGUGGGGUAAUGGCCUACCAAGGCGGCGACGGGUAGCCGGCCUGAGGGGGUGGACGGCCACAUUGGGACUGAGAUACGGCCCAGACUCCUACGGGAGGCAGCAGUGGGGAAUAUGGCACGAUGGGCGGAAGCCUGAUGCAGCGACGCCGCGUGGGGGAUGACGGGCUUCGGGUUGUAAACUCCUUUCGACCGCGAGGAAGCCACCUGGUUGGAAGGGUGGUGACGGUAGUGGUAGAAGAAGCACCGGCUAACUACGUG